Molecule: ribosomal RNA, 494 nt
Filed under: uncultured bacterium
Lineage: Bacteria
Description: partial 16S ribosomal RNA
Rfam family: Bacterial small subunit ribosomal RNA
Source: RNAcentral
GACGAACGCUGGCGGCGUGCUUAACACAUGCAAGUCGAACGGUGAAGCGCCUUCCUUUUUGGUGGGUGUGGAUGAGUGGCGAACGGGUGAGUAACACGUGAGUAACCUGCCCCCUUCUUCUGGAUAACCGCAUGAAAGUGUGGCUAAUACGGGAUAUUCUGGGUCUGUCGCAUGAUGGGUCUGGGAAAGAUAUUGUUUCGGUGGGGGAUGGGCUCGCGGCCUAUCAGCUUGUUUGUGGGGUGAUGGCCUACCAAGGCGGUGACGGGUAGCCGGCCUGAGAGGGUGGACGGUCACACUGGGACUGAGACACGGCCCAGACUCCUACGGGAGGCAGCAGUGGGGAAUAUUGCACAAUGGGCGCAAGCCUGAUGCAGCGACGCCGCGUGAGGGAUGGAGGCCUUCGGGUUGUGAACCUCUUUCGCCAGUGAAGCAGGCCUGCCUCGUUUGUGGGUGGGUUGACGGUAGCUGGAUAAGAAGCGCCGGCUAACUACGUG